Molecule: long non-coding RNA, 506 nt
Organism: Papaver somniferum (opium poppy)
Lineage: Eukaryota; Viridiplantae; Streptophyta; Magnoliopsida; Ranunculales; Papaveraceae
Exons: 3
Source: RefSeq, a predicted model, not a curated record
GCUUCUGAAUCUGUUUUCAGCACCAGUGGUAGAGUUGUAGAUAAAUUUCGUUCUUCAAUGCUUCCAGAAACAAUUGAAGCUCUGAUAUGCACACAAGAUUGGAUAAGAAGUGCGCUGAAGAAUGAGGGAUAUGGGUUAGGUAGUACUUCACUUCAGACUCUUUUGGAGGCAAUGGAGGAGCUCGAGUCAGACGAUGAUGAUGCAACAUCGCACAUUGUCUAACUGACUGACUAUCAAUUUAAGGAACAAUUGGAAAUAUGAUGGUUGGAACUUCUUUUUGGUAUAUAUAUAUUAUAUAGGCAUAGCCAAAGAACAUGCGAAGUGCGCGAACUACAUCCUUCUUUUUUGUAUAUGUACUUGUGAAGGAAAAACGCAUUUAUCUUUUGGGGCUUCUACAGUUUAUAGAAUGAUAUGUCUGUCAACUUUUGUGGUUAUAAUACGACAGACUAUAGCCAUUAAGGCAGGUACUGAAUCUACUGAUGGAGCAGUUAUCGGCUAAAAACAUG